Molecule: transfer RNA, 76 nt
Filed under: Chloroflexota bacterium
Lineage: Bacteria; Bacillati; Chloroflexota
Also listed under: 4 other names
Description: Chloroflexi bacterium (soil metagenome) tRNA-Arg
Rfam family: tRNA
About the family: Transfer RNA (tRNA) molecules are approximately 80 nucleotides in length. Their secondary structure includes four short double-helical elements and three loops (D, anti-codon, and T loops).
Source: RNAcentral
GUGCCCGUAGCUCAGUGGAUAGAGCGUUAGGUUGCGGACCUAAAGGUCGGAGGUUCGAGUCCUCUCGGGCACGCCA